RNAcentral lists this ribosomal RNA (390 nucleotides) under Nemichthys curvirostris (spotted snipe eel). RNAcentral describes it as "partial 12S rRNA". It matches the Rfam family "Bacterial small subunit ribosomal RNA", at positions 483 to 992 of the family's 1533-position model. Lineage: Eukaryota; Metazoa; Chordata; Actinopteri; Anguilliformes; Nemichthyidae. The record is from RNAcentral.
GCCAAAAGGGCCGGUUAAGCUCGUGCCAGCCACCGCGGUUAUACGAGCGGCCCAAGUUGACAUUACACGGCGUAAAGAGUGAUUAGAAAACCUACAAACUAAAGCCAAACCCCUCCCCCAAGCUGUUAUACGCUCACGGAUAGACGAAGACUUCCAACGAAAGUAGCUUUAAUAAAUUUGAACUCACGAGAGUCGAGGGACAAACUGGGAUUAGAUACCCCACUAUGCUCGACUUUAAACGACGACGGCCAAGUACCAGGGCCGUCCGCCAGGGGACUACGAGCAACAGCUUAAAACCCAAAGGACUUGGCGGUGCUUCAAACCCACCUAGAGGAGCCUGUUUUAUAACCGAUAAUCCUCGUUAAACCUCACCACACCUUGCCAAUGCCC